RNAcentral lists this non-coding RNA (31 nucleotides) under Mus musculus (house mouse). The record is from RNAcentral. Lineage: Eukaryota; Metazoa; Chordata; Mammalia; Rodentia; Muridae.
UGCUUCAAAGCCAGUACCACCUGGGUGAUUC